CUCGGUGUGGCGCAGUAGGCAGCGCGGGUGAUUUGGGAUCACGAGGGUCAUCGGCGGGCGGAGGAGCCGAUGACGGUUCGAGACCUGCCACCGAGACCA
Molecule: transfer RNA, 99 nt
Filed under: beta proteobacterium AAP51
Lineage: Bacteria; Pseudomonadati; Pseudomonadota; Betaproteobacteria
Description: tRNA-Pro
Rfam family: tRNA
About the family: Transfer RNA (tRNA) molecules are approximately 80 nucleotides in length. Their secondary structure includes four short double-helical elements and three loops (D, anti-codon, and T loops).
Source: RNAcentral